Molecule: long non-coding RNA, 416 nt
Organism: Brassica rapa (field mustard)
Lineage: Eukaryota; Viridiplantae; Streptophyta; Magnoliopsida; Brassicales; Brassicaceae
Source: RefSeq, a predicted model, not a curated record
UUACGGUGGGUUUGUACCCAUGGUUUUACUCAAACCCAUAAGUAUUGGGCUGGGUUUUUACCCUGAAAUAGAUAGAUGGGUUUAGUAUGGGUUAUUAAUUUUAGAGAAUAUAUUAAUUUGGGUAAAUCCAAUAGGGUAAUUGGGUACCCACAGACUUAAAAAAAAAUAUACGUCGUCGUUUGUUAUGUCUUCUCUCUCAAAUCUGGAAAACGAAGUCUGUCUCUCUCAAAUCUCAAUUAAGCUGCGUCCUCUUCAUCUCUCUCAGGGAAGAAACAUCAUCAGGUUUUGAUUCUGAUUGUUCGCUUGUCUCUGCAGCAAACCCAUUAUCAGGUAAAAUGUUAAAGAUAAAAAGGUCUCACCAAUGAAGAAGGUGACAGAGUGAGACUCUUUACGGUGGUGCGGUUUCAGAUAUUUCA